AGAGUUUGAUCAUGGCUCAGAACGAACGCUGGCGGCAUGCCUAACACAUGCAAGUCGAACGAGACCUUCGGGUCUAGUGGCGCACGGGUGCGUAACGCGUGGGAAUCUGCCCUUGGGUUCGGAAUAACAGUUGGAAACGACUGCUAAUACCGAAUGAUGACUUCGGUCCAAAGAUUUAUCGCCCAGGGAUGAGCCCGCGUAGGAUUAGCUAGUUGGUGAGGUAAAGGCUCACCAAGGCAACGAUCCUUAGCUGGUCUGAGAGGAUGAUCAGCCACACUGGGACUGAGACACGGCCCAGACUCCUACGGGAGGCAGCAGUGGGGAAUAUUGGACAAUGGGGGAAACCCUGAUCCAGCAAUGCCGCGUGAGUGAUGAAGGCCUUAGGGUUGUAAAGCUCUUUUACCCGGGAUGAUAAUGACAGUACCGGGAGAAUAAGCCCCGGCUAACUCCGUGCCAGCAGCCGCGGUA
This 468-nucleotide ribosomal RNA is filed under the name uncultured Pseudomonadota bacterium. RNAcentral describes it as "bacterial SSU rRNA". It matches the Rfam family "Bacterial small subunit ribosomal RNA", at positions 8 to 522 of the family's 1533-position model. The record is from RNAcentral. Lineage: Bacteria; Pseudomonadati; Pseudomonadota.